Small nucleolar RNA from Tachyglossus aculeatus (Australian echidna), 136 nucleotides. Lineage: Eukaryota; Metazoa; Chordata; Mammalia; Monotremata; Tachyglossidae. The record is from RefSeq and is a predicted model, not a curated record.
CCCCUCUCAGGGUUGCACCUGGAGAGUUUCCAGUACUACCAGCCUUGACUAUGGGAGGGAGAGUCAAGCAGAAGCAUAAUCAUUCCGUUCCUAGCUUGGGCAGUGGCUAGUGAGUGGAAGGCAAUCUGCUACAAGU